Molecule: non-coding RNA, 31 nt
Filed under: Macaca fascicularis (crab-eating macaque)
Lineage: Eukaryota; Metazoa; Chordata; Mammalia; Primates; Cercopithecidae
Also listed under: 1 other name
Source: RNAcentral
UCUCUGCUACUCUUUUCUCUGGUGCUGCAGC